Molecule: transfer RNA, 73 nt
Filed under: Mesocricetus auratus (golden hamster)
Lineage: Eukaryota; Metazoa; Chordata; Mammalia; Rodentia; Cricetidae
Rfam family: tRNA
About the family: Transfer RNA (tRNA) molecules are approximately 80 nucleotides in length. Their secondary structure includes four short double-helical elements and three loops (D, anti-codon, and T loops).
Source: Rfam by way of RNAcentral
GGAGAGAUGGCUCAGCAGUUAAGGGCACUGGAUGCUCUUCCAGAGGACCUAGGUUCAAUUCCCAGCCACUACA